RNAcentral lists this ribosomal RNA (225 nucleotides) under uncultured bacterium. RNAcentral's name for it is "partial 16S ribosomal RNA". It matches the Rfam family "Bacterial small subunit ribosomal RNA", at positions 107 to 334 of the family's 1533-position model. The record is from RNAcentral.
UGAGUAACACGUAUCCAACCUGCCGUCUACUCUUGGACAGCCUUCUGAAAGGAAGAUUAAUACAAGAUGGCAUCAUGAGUCCGCAUGUUCACAUGAUUAAAGGUAUUCCGGUAGACGAUGGGGAUGCGUUCCAUUAGAUAGUAGGCGGGGUAACGGCCCACCUAGUCUUCGAUGGAUAGGGGUUCUGAGAGGAAGGUCCCCCACAUUGGACUGAGACACGGCCAA